Molecule: ribosomal RNA, 503 nt
Filed under: uncultured bacterium
Lineage: Bacteria
Description: partial 16S ribosomal RNA
Rfam family: Bacterial small subunit ribosomal RNA
Source: RNAcentral
GACGAACGCUGGCGGCGUGCUUAACACAUGCAAGUCGAACGGUGAAGCGCUUUCCUUUUUGGUUGGUGUGGAUGAGUGGCGAACGGGUGAGUAACACGUGAGUAACCUGCCCCCUUCUUCUGGAUAACCGCAUGAAAGUGUGGCUAAUACGGGAUAUUCUGCGCCUGCUGCAUGGUGGGUGUGGGAAAGAUUGUGCCUUUGGGUGUUUUCGGUGGGGGAUGGGCUCGCGGCCUAUCAGCUUGUUGGUGGGGUGAUGGCCUACCAAGGCGGUGACGGGUAGCCGGCCUGAGAGGGUGGACGGUCACACUGGGACUGAGACACGGCCCAGACGCCUACGGGAGGCAGCAGUGGGGAAUAUUGCACAAUGGGCGCAAGCCUGAUGCAGCGACGCCGCGUGAGGGAUGGAGGCCUUCGGGUUGUGAACCUCUUUCGCCAGUGAAGCAGGCCUGCUCCUUGUGGGUGGGUUGACGGUAGCUGGAUAAGAAGCGCCGGCUAACUACGUG